GGUGAGGUGGCCGAGUGGGUUUAAGGCGCUCCCCUGCUAAGAGAGUAUGCGAUUAAAACGCAUCGAGGGUUCGAAUCCCUCCCUCGCCG
RNAcentral lists this transfer RNA (89 nucleotides) under Candidatus Providencia siddallii. RNAcentral's name for it is "transfer RNA Serine". It matches the Rfam family "tRNA". Rfam says of the family: Transfer RNA (tRNA) molecules are approximately 80 nucleotides in length. The record is from RNAcentral. Lineage: Bacteria; Pseudomonadati; Pseudomonadota; Gammaproteobacteria; Enterobacterales; Morganellaceae.